AAGGCAUGAAGAAAAUAUCUGAACAGUCUCACUGAAGACUGAUAAGAUCAAACUCUGACUUAAAAAAAAAA
This is a small nucleolar RNA of Nannospalax galili (Upper Galilee mountains blind mole rat), 71 nucleotides long. RefSeq annotates it as small nucleolar RNA SNORD19. NCBI's taxonomy places the organism in Eukaryota, Metazoa, Chordata, Mammalia, Rodentia, Spalacidae. The transcript has a single exon. The record is from RefSeq and is a predicted model, not a curated record.